UAGGGAAUUUUGGACAAUGGGCGAAAGCCUGAUCCAGCAACGCCGCGUGCGCGAUGAAGGCCUUCGGGUUGUAAAGCGCUUUUAGAGGAGAUGAGAAAGGACAGUAUCCUCUGAAUAAGCCUCGGCGAACUACGUGCCAGCAGCCGCGGUAAAACGUAGGAGGCUAGCGUUAUCCGGAUUUAUUGGGCGUAAAGCGUGUGCAGGCGGUUAUGCAAGUUGGAUGUGAAAGCUCCUGGCUUAACUGGGAGAGGUCGUUCAAAACUGCAUGACUAGAGAAUGGGAGAGGGAGGUGGAAUUCCGGGUGUAGUGGUAAAAUGCGUAGAUAUCCGGAGGAACACCAGUGGCGAAAGCGGCCUCCUGGACCAUUUCUGACGCUCAGACACGAAAGCUAGGGUAGCAAACGG
This 404-nucleotide ribosomal RNA is filed under the name uncultured bacterium. Its description in RNAcentral is "bacterial SSU rRNA". It matches the Rfam family "Bacterial small subunit ribosomal RNA", at positions 355 to 775 of the family's 1533-position model. The record is from RNAcentral.